Molecule: ribosomal RNA, 463 nt
Filed under: uncultured bacterium
Lineage: Bacteria
Description: bacterial SSU rRNA
Rfam family: Bacterial small subunit ribosomal RNA
Source: RNAcentral
GGAGAAGCAGGGGAUCGCAAGACCUUGCGCUUUUGGAGCGGCCGAUGCCUGAUUAGCUUGUUGGUGAGGUAAAAGCUCACCAAGGCUCCGAUCAGUAGCUGGUCUGAGAGGACGACCAGCCACACUGGGACUGAGACACGGCCCAGACUCCUACGGGAGGCAGCAGUGGGGUAUUUUGGACAAUGGGGGCAACCCUGAUCCAGCCAUGCCGCGUGAGUGAAGAAGGCCUUCGGGUUGUAAAGCUCUUUCAGCCGGAACGAAACGGUCACGGUCAAUACCCGUGACUACUGACGGUACCGGAAGAAGAAGCACCGGCUAACUACGUGCCAGCAGCCGCGGUAAUACGUAGGGUGCGAGCGUUAAUCGGAAUUACUGGGCGUAAAGCGUGCGCAGGCGGUUUUGUAAGUCAGAUGUGAAAUCCCCGGGCUUAACCUGGGAACUGCGUUUGAAACUACAAGGCUAG